GACGAACGCUGGCGGCGUGCCUAAUACAUGCAAGUCGAGCGAAGUUUUUCUGGUGCUUGCACUAGAAAAACUUAGCGGCGAACGGGUGAGUAACACGUAAAGAACCUGCCUCAUAGACUGGGACAACUAUUGGAAACGAUAGCUAAUACCGGAUAACAAUAUUUUUCGCAUGAAAGAUACUUAAAAGUUGGUUAUGCUAACACUAUGAGAUGGCUUUGCGGUGCAUUAGCUAGUUGGUGGGGUAAAGGCCUACCAAGGCGACGAUGCAUAGCCGACCUGAGAGGGUGAUCGGCCACACUGGGACUGAGACACGGCCCAGACUCCUACGGGAGGCAGCAGUAGGGAAUCUUCCGCAAUGGGCGAAAGCCUGACGGAGCAACGCCGCGUGAGUGAAGAAGGAUUUCGGUUCGUAAAGCUCUGUUGUUAGGGAAGAAUGGAUAUGUAGUAACUAUACAUAUAAGA
Molecule: ribosomal RNA, 462 nt
Filed under: Gemella morbillorum
Lineage: Bacteria; Bacillati; Bacillota; Bacilli; Caryophanales; Gemellaceae
Description: bacterial SSU rRNA
Rfam family: Bacterial small subunit ribosomal RNA
Source: RNAcentral